UUUAAGUGCGGAGAGGAUUUAAUGGCGUGUGAAGAGGCCUUUUCCUGUUGCAGUAAUUUUGGGACUUCCUUAGUGAUUGCAUAAGUAAGCGAACACGAGCGGCUAGUAAAGGCAGUCUUACGAGUAAUUUAUCAGAUAAAGACUUCAAGCUACGCGUGAAAAGCAGAACGAUAAAGAUGAAGACAACAGUGAUAACUUUGAUCGGGAUUUUACUAGUCAUUCAGCAGACGUAUUCCUUCACCGCGGGAAUCGGGAAUUUUGGAAAACGAGAAUAUCAAAGAGGGUCCCACAUGAGUCGUAAAUCACUACAAUAUCUCUGCGAUUAUGUACAGAGAACAGCAACGGAAGAACCAGAGUUAACAACAAAACGAUCCACGCCGGAGUACAUACGGGACAUUUGCCAACUAUGACGUGACAAAAUGGAGUUCAAUGCCAAAACAUCUCACUCAAGUUUUGCAAAUUAAAACUAAAUUUGAAAGACUUUUUUUUGAAAUGAAAGCAUGAUAAAGAUUCAAGGCUAUGUAAGGUUUAUUAUAUGAAAAUAAAUGUCAUAAUUUCUGGUUUAGUUAA
Long non-coding RNA from Actinia tenebrosa (Australian red waratah sea anemone), 570 nucleotides. RefSeq lists it as uncharacterized. The record is from RefSeq and is a predicted model, not a curated record. Lineage: Eukaryota; Metazoa; Cnidaria; Anthozoa; Actiniaria; Actiniidae.